UACGUAGGGGGCUAGCGUUGUCCGGAAUCAUUGGGCGUAAAGAGCGUGUAGGCGGCCCGGUAAGUCCGCUGUGAAAGUCGGGGGCUCAACCCUCGAAUGCCGGUGGAUACUGUCGGGCUAGAGUGCGGAAGAGGCGAGUGGAAUUCCUGGUGUAGCGGUGAAAUGCGCAGAUAUCGGGAAGAACACCCGUGGCGAAGGCGGUUCUCUGGGACGGUACUGACGCUGAGACGCGAAAGCGUGGGGAGCGAACAGG
RNAcentral lists this ribosomal RNA (253 nucleotides) under uncultured bacterium. Its description in RNAcentral is "partial 16S ribosomal RNA". It matches the Rfam family "Bacterial small subunit ribosomal RNA", at positions 524 to 776 of the family's 1533-position model. The record is from RNAcentral.